RNAcentral lists this ribosomal RNA (611 nucleotides) under uncultured archaeon. RNAcentral's name for it is "bacterial SSU rRNA". It matches the Rfam family "Archaeal small subunit ribosomal RNA", at positions 1 to 589 of the family's 1478-position model. The record is from RNAcentral.
UCCGGUUGAUCCUGCCGGACCCUACUGCUAUCGGGAUGGGACUAAGACAUGCUAGUCGUGCGCUUCUAAGCCAUGGUGGAGGCGCGGCGCACAGCUCAGUAACACGUGGUUAACCUGCCCUUGGGACGGAAACACCCCCGGGAAACUGGGGCUAAUUUCCGAUAGGUGAAGACUCCUGGAAUGGAUCUUCGCCUAAAGGGCGCUUAGGCCAUGCUUCUAGGCGCUGCCCAAGGAUGGGACCGCGGCCGAUCAGGUUGUUGGUGAGGUAAUGGCUCACCAAGCCUUUAACCGGUUCGGGCCGUGGGAGCGGGAGCCCGGAGAUGGGUACUGAGACAAGGGCCCAGGUCCUACGGGGCGCAGCAGUCGCGAAAACUCCGCAAUACGCGAAGGCGUGACGGGGCUAUCCCGAGUGCCGUCCGCUGAGGAUGGCUUUUCCCCAGUGUAGAUAGCUGGGGGAAUAAGGAGAGGGCAAGUCUGGUGUCAGCCGCCGCGGUAAUACCAGCUCUCCGAGUGGUGGGGACGUUUAUUGGGCCUGAAGCAUCCGUAGCCAGCUGAGCAAGUCCCCAGUUAAAUCCAGCGAUUUAAUCGUUGGACUGCUGGGGAUACUGUCC